UACGAAGGGUGCAAGCGUUACUCGGAAUUACUGGGCGUAAAGCGUGCGUAGGUGGUUCGUUAAGUCUGAUGUGAAAGCCCUGGGCUCAACCUGGGAAUUGCAUUGGAUACUGGCGGGCUGGAGUACGGUAGAGGGUGGCGGAAUUCCUGGUGUAGCAGUGAAAUGCGUAGAUAUCAGGAGGAACAUCCGUGGCGAAGGCGGCCACCUUGACCAGUACUGACACUGAGGCACGAAAGCGUGGGGAGCAAACAGGAUUAGAUACCCU
This 265-nucleotide ribosomal RNA is filed under the name uncultured prokaryote. Its description in RNAcentral is "partial 16S ribosomal RNA". It matches the Rfam family "Bacterial small subunit ribosomal RNA", at positions 524 to 788 of the family's 1533-position model. The record is from RNAcentral.